This 309-nucleotide unclassified non-coding RNA is filed under the name uncultured fungus. Its description in RNAcentral is "partial contains 5.8S ribosomal RNA, internal transcribed spacer 2, and large subunit ribosomal RNA". The stretch from base 1 to 52 matches the Rfam family "5.8S ribosomal RNA", at positions 103 to 154 of the family's 154-position model. Lineage: Eukaryota; Fungi. RNAcentral also lists the same sequence under 1 other name. The record is from RNAcentral.
AACGCACCUUGCGCUCCUUGGUAUUCCGAGGAGCAUGCCUGUUUGAGUGUCAUUAAAUUCUCAACCUCACCAAUUUUGUCAUGAAGUUGUGUGUAGGCUUGGAGGUGGGGGGUUUUGCAGGUCCACAAUAUGGUGGUCUGCUCCUCUGAAAUGUAUUAGCGGGUUAGGCCCCUAAUCUAUUGGUGUGAUAACUAUCUACUCCGUGGAUUGGGUUUUGGCUUAUCCAUAGACCUGCUCCAAACCGUCCUUCUCUGGACAACUCCUGACAUUUUUGGCCUCAAAUCAGGUAAGACUACCCGCUGAACUUAA